CCAGAGAACUUAGCAGAGAUGCUUUGGUGCCUUCGGGAACUCUGAGACAGGUGCUGCAUGGCUGUCGUCAGCUCGUGUUGUGAAAUGUUGGGUUAAGUCCCGCAACGAGCGCAACCCUUAUCCUUUGUUGCCAGCGGCUCGGCCGGGAACUCAAAGGAGACUGCCGGUGAUAAACCGGAGGAAGGUGGGGAUGACGUCAAGUCAUCAUGGCCCUUACGGCCAGGGCUACACACGUGCUACAAUGGCGCAUACAAAGAGAAGCGACCUCGCGAGAGCAAGCGGACCUCAUAAAAGUGCGUCGUAGUCCGGAUUGGAGUCUGCAACUCGACUCCAUGAAGUCGGAAUCGCUAGUAAUCGUAGAUCAGAAUGCUACGGUGAAUACGUUCCCGGGCCUUGUACACACCGCCCGUCACACCAUGGGAGUGGGUUGCAAAAGAAGUAGGUAGCUUAACCUUCGGGAGGGGCGCUUACCACUUUGUGAUUCAUGACUGGGGUGAAGUCGUAACAAGGUAAGCGUAGCGAG
RNAcentral lists this ribosomal RNA (523 nucleotides) under uncultured bacterium. RNAcentral describes it as "bacterial SSU rRNA". It matches the Rfam family "Bacterial small subunit ribosomal RNA", at positions 988 to 1509 of the family's 1533-position model. The record is from RNAcentral.